RNAcentral lists this ribosomal RNA (253 nucleotides) under uncultured bacterium. Its description in RNAcentral is "partial 16S ribosomal RNA". It matches the Rfam family "Bacterial small subunit ribosomal RNA", at positions 524 to 776 of the family's 1533-position model. The record is from RNAcentral.
UACGUAGGGUGCGAGCGUUGUCCGGAAUUAUUGGGCGUAAAGGGCUCGUAGGCGGUCCAUCGCGUCGGGAGUGAAAAGCUGGGGCUCAACCCCAGUCCUGCUUUCGAUACGGGUGGACUAGAGGUAGGCAGGGGAGAACGGAAUUCCUGGUGUAGCGGUGAAAUGCGUAGAUAUCGUAAGGAAGACCAGUGGCGAAGGCGGGUCUCUGGACAGUUCCUGACGCUGAGGCACGAAGGUCAGGGGAGCAAACGGG